This 450-nucleotide ribosomal RNA is filed under the name uncultured bacterium. RNAcentral's name for it is "bacterial SSU rRNA". It matches the Rfam family "Bacterial small subunit ribosomal RNA", at positions 354 to 796 of the family's 1533-position model. The record is from RNAcentral.
GUGGGGAAUAUUGGACAAUGGGCGCAAGCCUGAUCCAGCAAUGCCGCGUGUGUGAAGAAGGCCUUCGGGUUGUAAAGCACUUUUGUUUGGGAAGAAAUCCGGUUGGUUAAUACCCGAUCGGGAUGACGGUACCAAAAGAAUAAGCACCGGCUAACUUCGUGCCAGCAGCCGCGGUAAUACGAAGGGUGCAAGCGUUAAUCGGAAUUACUGGGCGUAAAGCGUGCGUAGGUGGUUUGUUAAGUCAGAUGUGAAAGCCCUGGGCUCAACCUGGGAACUGCAUUUGAUACUGGCAGGCUAGAGUGCGGUAGAGGGUGGUGGAAUUCCCGGUGUAGCGGUGAAAUGCGUAGAGAUCGGGAGGAACAUUCGUGGCGAAGGCGGCCACCUGGACCAGCACUGACACUGAGGCACGAAAGCGUGGGGAGCAAACAGGAUUAGAAACCCCUGUAGUCC